This 247-nucleotide ribosomal RNA is filed under the name uncultured bacterium. RNAcentral's name for it is "partial 16S ribosomal RNA". It matches the Rfam family "Bacterial small subunit ribosomal RNA", at positions 86 to 334 of the family's 1533-position model. The record is from RNAcentral.
AGAUGGCGACCGGCGCACGGGUGAGUAACACGUAUCCAACCUGCCGAUAACUCGGGGAUAGCCUUUCGAAAGAAAGAUUAAUACCCGAUGGCAUAAUUAGACCGCAUGGGCUUAUUAUUAAAGAAUUUCGGUUAUCGAUGGGGAUGCGUUCCAUUAGGCAGUUGGUGAGGUAACGGCUCACCAAACCUUCGAUGGAUAGGGGUUCUGAGAGGAAGGUCCCCCACAUUGGAACUGAGACACGGUCCAA